RNAcentral lists this ribosomal RNA (389 nucleotides) under uncultured bacterium. Its description in RNAcentral is "bacterial SSU rRNA". It matches the Rfam family "Bacterial small subunit ribosomal RNA", at positions 30 to 420 of the family's 1533-position model. The record is from RNAcentral.
AUUGAACGCUGGCGGCAUGCCUUACACAUGCAAGUCGAACGGUAACGGGCCUUCGGGUGCCGACGAGUGGCGAACGGGUGAGUAAUGUAUCGGAACGUACCUUUCAGUGGGGGAUAACGUAGCGAAAGUUACGCUAAUACCGCAUAUUCUGUGAGCAGGAAAGCAGGGGAUCGCAAGACCUUGCGCUGAUUGAGCGGCCGAUAUCAGAUUAGCUAGUUGGUGAGGUAAAGGCUCACCAAGGCGACGAUCUGUAGUGGGUCUGAGAGGAUGAUCCGCCACACUGGAACUGAGACACGGUCCAGACUCCUACGGGAGGCAGCAGUGGGGAAUUUUGGGACAAUGGGGGCAACCCUGAUCCAGCCAUGCCGCGUGAGUGAAGAAGGCCUCGG